Molecule: ribosomal RNA, 238 nt
Filed under: uncultured bacterium
Lineage: Bacteria
Description: partial 16S ribosomal RNA
Rfam family: Bacterial small subunit ribosomal RNA
Source: RNAcentral
UGAGCAACCUGCCUCUCAGAGGGGGAUAACGUUUGGAAACGAACGCUAAUACCGCAUGAAAUAUUGGCAUCGCAUGGUGCUGAUAUCAAAGGAGCAAUCCGCUGAGAGAUGGGCUCGCGUCCGAUUAGAUAGUUGGCGGGGUAACGGCCCACCAAGUCGACGAUCGGUAGCCGGACUGAGAGGUUGAACGGCCACAUUGGGACUGAGACACGGCCCAGACUCCUACGGAAGGCAGCAG